GGAGUGAUGGCCGAGUGGUUGAUGGCAACAGUCUUGAAAACUGUCGUGGGUGCAAGCUCACCGGGGGUUCGAAUCCCUCUCACUCCG
RNAcentral lists this transfer RNA (87 nucleotides) under Anaerolineae bacterium. RNAcentral describes it as "tRNA-Ser". It matches the Rfam family "tRNA". Rfam says of the family: Transfer RNA (tRNA) molecules are approximately 80 nucleotides in length. Their secondary structure includes four short double-helical elements and three loops (D, anti-codon, and T loops). Further hydrogen bonds mediate the characteristic L-shaped molecular structure. tRNAs have two regions of fundamental functional importance: the anti-codon, which is responsible for specific mRNA codon recognition, and the 3' end, to which the tRNAs corresponding amino acid is attached (by aminoacyl-tRNA synthetases). tRNAs cope with the degeneracy of the genetic code in two manners: having more than one tRNA (with a specific anti-codon) for a particular amino acid; and 'wobble' base-pairing, i.e. permitting non-standard base-pairing at the 3rd anti-codon position. Lineage: Bacteria; Bacillati; Chloroflexota; Anaerolineae. The record is from RNAcentral.